Molecule: ribosomal RNA, 367 nt
Filed under: uncultured organism
Description: partial 16S ribosomal RNA
Rfam family: Bacterial small subunit ribosomal RNA
Source: RNAcentral
GGAGGAUGCAAGCGUUAUCCGGAAUCAUUGGGUUUAAAGGGUCCGUAGGCGGGCAAUUAAGUCAGAGGUGAAAGUUUGCGGCUCAACCGUAAAAUUGCCUUUGAUACUGGUUGUCUUGAAUCAUUGUGAAGUGGUUAGAAUAUGUAGUGUAGCGGUGAAAUGCAUAGAGAUUACAUAGAAUACCAAUUGCGAAGGCAGAUCACUAACAAUGUAUUGACGCUGAGGGACGAAAGCGUGGGGGAGCGAACAGGAUUAGAUACCCUGGUAGUCCACGCCGUAAACGAUGGAUACUAGCUGUACGGACUUCGGUCUGUGUGGCUAAGCGAAAGUGAUAAGUAUCCCCACCUGGGAUACGUUCGCAAGAAUG